UGGGAACCUUCCCUAUGGUUCGGAAUAGCCCAGGGAAACUUGGGGUAAUACCGAAUAAGCCCUUCGGGGAAAGAUUUAUCGCCAUUGGAUGGGCCCGCGUCGGAUUAGCUAGUUGGUGGGGUAACGGCCCACCAAGGCGACGAUCCGUAGCUGGUCUGAGAGGAUGAUCAGCCACACUGGGACUGAGACACGGCCCAGACUCCUACGGGAGGCAG
Molecule: ribosomal RNA, 215 nt
Filed under: uncultured bacterium
Lineage: Bacteria
Description: partial 16S ribosomal RNA
Rfam family: Bacterial small subunit ribosomal RNA
Source: RNAcentral